UUCAUAACGUAAGCGUCCAAGGCCCAAACAAAAAAUCAUUAAGCAGCAGCUGGAAUUCAACAACCUUAUGUCACCGGAAAUUGGGACACACCAGCUGGAAUCAGAUACCGCCGGCGACAUGAAUUUCAAGGAAACAGAAUUGACCUUAGCCUUGCCCGGUGAGUCUCGCACAUUAAAGGAGAUGAACGGAGGGACAAUAGGGACUAAACGUGGAUUUUUGGAGACCGUUGAUCUAAAUCUUGGUAGUCCCCGUGCUGAUUGUAGUGAUAAAGAUCGUAAUGAGUCAGAGAAUGAUGUCUUAACCGCGGCCAAGCCUCCGGCAGCAAAGGCACAAGUGGU
RNAcentral lists this unclassified non-coding RNA (339 nucleotides) under Hevea brasiliensis (rubber tree). Lineage: Eukaryota; Viridiplantae; Streptophyta; Magnoliopsida; Malpighiales; Euphorbiaceae. The record is from RNAcentral.